RNAcentral lists this ribosomal RNA (368 nucleotides) under uncultured alga. Its description in RNAcentral is "bacterial LSU rRNA". It matches the Rfam family "Bacterial large subunit ribosomal RNA", at positions 2098 to 2465 of the family's 2925-position model. The record is from RNAcentral.
GCUUGACUGUAUCUUGGAAUUGGGUUCGGGCUUUUCUUGCGCAGACUAGGUGGGAGGCUAUGAAGAUUUUCUUCUGGGAAAGUCGGAGCCAACAGUGAGAGACCACUCUGGAAAGGCUAGAAUCCUAAUGGUGAUCCUUGAAUCAGGACACUUGACAGUUUCAGGUGGGCAGUUUUUCUGGGGCGGAAGCCUCAUAAAAGGUAACUGAGGCGCGCAAAGGUCCCCUCAGUCUGGACGGAAAUCAGACAUUGAGUGUAAAGGCAAAAGGGGGCUUGACUGCAAGACCCACAAGUCGAGCAGGGGCGAAAGCUGGCCUUAGUGAUCCGACGGUGCCGUGUGGAAGGCCGUCGCUCAACGAAUAAAAGUUA